This 298-nucleotide ribosomal RNA is filed under the name uncultured bacterium. RNAcentral describes it as "partial 16S ribosomal RNA". It matches the Rfam family "Bacterial small subunit ribosomal RNA", at positions 335 to 624 of the family's 1533-position model. The record is from RNAcentral.
CUUUCUACGGGAGGCAGCAGUGGGGAAUCUUCCGCAAUGGGCGCAAGCCUGACGGAGCAAUGCCGCGUGAACGAAGAAGGUCUUCGGAUUGUAAAGUUCUGUCCUUAUCGAAGAGAGGGUAUAGAGUGAAAAAUGAUAUACUAGGACGGUAGAUGAGGAGGAAGCCCCGGCUAACUACGUGCCAGCAGCCGCGGUAAUACGUAGGGGGCGAGCGUUGUCCGGAAUCACUGGGCGUAAAGGGCGCGUAGGCGGUAUGAUAAGUCAGAUGUGAAAGGCGGGGGCUCAACCUCUAGAGUGC